This 497-nucleotide ribosomal RNA is filed under the name uncultured bacterium. RNAcentral's name for it is "partial 16S ribosomal RNA". It matches the Rfam family "Bacterial small subunit ribosomal RNA", at positions 28 to 507 of the family's 1533-position model. The record is from RNAcentral.
GAUGAACGCUGGCGGCGUGCCUAAUACAUGCAAGUCGAGCGAACGGACGAGAAGCUUGCUUUUCUGAUGUUAGCGGCGGACGGGUGAGUAACACGUGGAUAACCUACCUAUAAGACUGGGAUAACUUCGGGAAACCGGAGCUAAUACCGGAUAAUAUUUUGAACCGCAUGGUUCAAAAGUGAAAGACGGUCUUGCUGUCACUUAUAGAUGGAUCCGCGCUGCAUUAGCUAGUUGGUAAGGUAACGGCUUACCAAGGCAACGAUGCAUAGCCGACCUGAGAGGGUGAUCGGCCACACUGGAACUGAGACACGGUCCAGACUCCUACGGGGGGCAGCAGUAGGGAAUCUUCCGCAAUGGGCGAAAGCCUGACGGAGCAACGCCGCGUGAGUGAUGAAGGUCUUCGGAUCGUAAAACUCUGUUAUCAGGGAAGAACAUAUGUGUAAGUAACUGUGCACAUCUUGACGGUACCUAAUCAGAAAGCCACGGCUAACUACGUG